UAAAGGGCCGCGGUAUAUUGACCGUGCGAAGGUAGCAUAAUCAUUAGUCUUUUAAUUGAAGGCUGGAAUGAAUGGUUGAACAAAAAAUAUCCUGUCUCACUAUUAAAAUUAAAAUUUGACUUUUAAGUAAAAAGGCUUAAAUAAUAUAGAAUGACGAUAAGACCCUAUAAAGCUUUAUAUUAAAAAAAUAAUUAAUAAGUUUGAAUUUAAAAGUUAUUUAUUUUAAAGAUAUUAUGUUGGGGCGACAAAAAUAAAAAUUGUAACUGUUUAUUUAUUAAAAACUACAAUAAAAGAAAAAGUGAUCCUUUAGUAAAGAUUAAAAGAUUAAGUUACUUUAGGGAUAACAGCGUAAUCUUUUUUAAGAGUUCAUAUCGACAAAAAGACUUGCGACCUCGAUGUUGAAUUAAGAAGUCCUUUUGGUGUAGC
This 426-nucleotide ribosomal RNA is filed under the name Anaspides jarmani. RNAcentral describes it as "partial 16S ribosomal RNA". It matches the Rfam family "Bacterial large subunit ribosomal RNA", at positions 1924 to 2559 of the family's 2925-position model. Lineage: Eukaryota; Metazoa; Arthropoda; Malacostraca; Anaspidacea; Anaspididae. The record is from RNAcentral.